RNAcentral lists this ribosomal RNA (465 nucleotides) under Vreelandella stevensii. RNAcentral describes it as "partial 16S ribosomal RNA". It matches the Rfam family "Bacterial small subunit ribosomal RNA", at positions 338 to 795 of the family's 1533-position model. The record is from RNAcentral. Lineage: Bacteria; Pseudomonadati; Pseudomonadota; Gammaproteobacteria; Oceanospirillales; Halomonadaceae.
CCUACGGGGGGCAGCAGUGGGGAAUAUUGGACAAUGGGGGGAACCCUGAUCCAGCCAUGCCGCGUGUGUGAAGAAGGCCCUCGGGUUGUAAAGCACUUUCAGUGAGGAAGAACGCCUGGUGGUUAAUACCCAUCAGGAAAGACAUCACUCACAGAAGAAGCACCGGCUAACUCCGUGCCAGCAGCCGCGGUAAUACGGAGGGUGCGAGCGUUAAUCGGAAUUACUGGGCGUAAAGCGCGCGUAGGUGGCUUGAUAAGCCGGUUGUGAAAGCCCCGGGCUCAACCUGGGAACGGCAUCCGGAACUGUCAAGCUAGAGUGCAGGAGAGGAAGGUAGAAUUCCCGGUGUAGCGGUGAAAUGCGUAGCGAUCGGGAGGAAUACCAGUGGCGAAGGCGGCCUUCUGGACUGACACUGACACUGAGGUGCGAAAGCGUGGGUAGCAAACAGGAUUAGAUACCCCAGUAGUC